AACGAACGCUGGCGGCAUGCCUAACACAUGCAAGUCGAACGAGACCUUCGGGUCUAGUGGCGCACGGGUGCGUACCGCGUGGGAACCUGCCCUUAGGUUCGGAAUAACUCCCCGAAAGGGGUGCUAAUACCGGAUAAUGUCUUCGGACCAAAGAUUUAUCGCCUUUGGAUGGGCCCGCGUUGGAUUAGCUAGUUGGUAGUGUAAAAGCCUACCAAGGCGACGAUCCAUAGCUGGUCUGAGAGGAUGAUCAGCCACACUGGGACUGAGACACGGCCCAGACUCCUACGGGAGGCAGCAGUGGGGAAUAUUGGACAAUGGGCGAAAGCCUGAUCCAGCAAUGCCGCGGGAGUGAUGAAGGCCUUAGGGUUGUAAAGCUCUUUUACCCGGGAUGAUAAUGACAGUACCGGGAGAAUAAGCUCCGGCUAACUCCGUG
Molecule: ribosomal RNA, 433 nt
Filed under: uncultured bacterium
Lineage: Bacteria
Description: partial 16S ribosomal RNA
Rfam family: Bacterial small subunit ribosomal RNA
Source: RNAcentral